This 75-nucleotide transfer RNA is filed under the name Pseudomonadota bacterium. RNAcentral's name for it is "tRNA-Asp". It matches the Rfam family "tRNA". From Rfam's summary of the family: Transfer RNA (tRNA) molecules are approximately 80 nucleotides in length. Their secondary structure includes four short double-helical elements and three loops (D, anti-codon, and T loops). Lineage: Bacteria; Pseudomonadati; Pseudomonadota. The record is from RNAcentral.
GCUCUAUUAGCCAUCUGGUGAAGGCAUCGCUCUGUCAAGGCGAGAAGGCGGAUUCGAUCUCCGUAUAGAGCGCCA